Molecule: ribosomal RNA, 490 nt
Filed under: uncultured bacterium
Lineage: Bacteria
Description: partial 16S ribosomal RNA
Rfam family: Bacterial small subunit ribosomal RNA
Source: RNAcentral
AUUGAACGCUGGCGGCAGGCCUAACACAUGCAAGUCGAACGGUAACAGGAAACAGCUUGCUGUUUCGCUGACGAGUGGCGGACGGGUGAGUAAUGUCUGGGAAACUGCCUGAUGGAGGGGGAUAACUACUGGAAACGGUAGCUAAUACCGCAUAACGUCGCAAGACCAAAGAGGGGGACCUUCGGGCCUCUUGCCAUCGGAUGUGCCCAGAUGGGAUUAGCUAGUAGGUGGGGUAACGGCUCACCUAGGCGACGACCCCUAGCUGGUCUGAGAGGAUGACCAGCCACACUGGAACUGAGACACGGUCCAGACUCCUACGGGAGGCAGCAGUGGGGAAUAUUGCACAAUGGGCGCAAGCCUGAUGCAGCCAUGCCGCGUGUAUGAAGAAGGCCUUCGGGUUGUAAAGUACUUUCAGCGGGGAUGAAGGGAGUAAAGUUAAUACCUUUGCUCAUUGACGUUACCCGCAGAAGAAGCACCGGCUAACUCCGUG